AGAAUCAACGCUGGCGGCGUGCCUAACACAUGCAAGUUGAGCGCUUGAGGGGGCAACCCCAAGAGAGCAGCGAACGGUGAGUAACGCGUGGUGAUCUUCCUUCGAGUGGGAACAACAGUCGGGAAACUGGUGCUAAUUCCGCAUAACACCCUGGAGCUACGAGCUUCAGGAUCAAAGGCCGGGACCGUAAGGCCUGGCGCUUGAAGAUGACGCCCGCGUCCGAUUAGCUAGGUUGGCGGGUAAUCGGCCCACGAAGGCUUCGAUCGGUA
This 269-nucleotide ribosomal RNA is filed under the name uncultured soil bacterium. Its description in RNAcentral is "partial 16S ribosomal RNA". It matches the Rfam family "Bacterial small subunit ribosomal RNA", at positions 26 to 285 of the family's 1533-position model. The record is from RNAcentral.